UGGUUUGGAACGUGGUGAGACAUUUCGGUCCCUAUCUGCCGUGGGCGCUGGAGAAUUGAGGGGGGCUGCUCCUAGUACGAGAGGACCGGAGUGGACGCAUCACUGGUGUUCGGGUUGUCAUGCCAAUGGCAUUGCCCGGUAGCUAAAUGCGGAAGAGAUAAGUGCUGAAAGCAUCUAAGCACGAAACUUGCCCCGAGAUGAGUUCUCCCUGACUCCUUGAGAGUCCUGAAGGAACGUUAAAGACGAUGACGUUGAUAGGUCGGGUGUGUAAGUGUAGCGAUACAUUGAGCUAACCGAUACUAAUGAACCGUGAGGCUUAACCUUACAACGCCGAAG
This 336-nucleotide ribosomal RNA is filed under the name Citrobacter portucalensis. Its description in RNAcentral is "partial 23S ribosomal RNA". It matches the Rfam family "Bacterial large subunit ribosomal RNA", at positions 2607 to 2925 of the family's 2925-position model. The record is from RNAcentral. Lineage: Bacteria; Pseudomonadati; Pseudomonadota; Gammaproteobacteria; Enterobacterales; Enterobacteriaceae.